AUGUUCAAUCUUUUGACCAUGCUUUUUUCUUUGUUUUCUGCAGAUAAAAAAGAAAUCUGUGUGGUCAAUCCAACAAUUUUAACAAAGAGUAUUGGAGCGACAACUAAUGGAACAAUUAAAGAAAAUAAUAAUGUCAUCAUCAAUGUGGUGAAUGGUAGUCAUAAACAAAAUGGCACUGCUAUUUCGAAUCAAAGUUCCCUCACUGAUUUGUCCCGAGCGGCAGAUAGUCCUGUAAAAAGUGUAAAAAAAGAUGUUAGCAAAGUUUGUACAGUAGAAGUUGAAGUUAUUGAUGGAAAGAAAAAACGUUUAUCUGAUCAGGCCUACUUUAUCACCAAAGAACUAUUGUCUACAGAAAGAACAUUCCGUAAAGACCUCAAAGUGAUUACUUUUUGGUUCAAAGAUGAACUGAUAAAAGAGCAGGGAUCCUUGCAGCUGGGUUUCAUUGACCAGUUGAUGAGUGUGUUGGAGCGGAUACAGAGCCAGCAGACAACGUUCAUCAAAGACCUCGAGAUGAAGACGCAACUCUGGGAUGACUGCACCCAGUAUUCACUGGCUGAUAUCCUCAUCAAACAUUUCGAUAACCUACAGGUGUGCCUCUGA
Molecule: long non-coding RNA, 600 nt
Filed under: Bemisia tabaci
Lineage: Eukaryota; Metazoa; Arthropoda; Insecta; Hemiptera; Aleyrodidae
Description: lncRNA ENSSSA2NGG008329
Source: RNAcentral